RNAcentral lists this ribosomal RNA (749 nucleotides) under Vibrio harveyi. Its description in RNAcentral is "bacterial SSU rRNA". It matches the Rfam family "Bacterial small subunit ribosomal RNA", at positions 57 to 787 of the family's 1533-position model. Lineage: Bacteria; Pseudomonadati; Pseudomonadota; Gammaproteobacteria; Vibrionales; Vibrionaceae. The record is from RNAcentral.
GCAGUCGAGCGGAACGAGUUAUCUGAACCUUCGGGGAACGAUAACGGCGUCGAGCGGCGGACGGGUGAGUAAUGCCUAGGAAAUUGCCCUGAUGUGGGGGAUAACCAUUGGAAACGAUGGCUAAUACCGCAUAAUACCUACGGGUCAAAGAGGGGGACCUUCGGGCCUCUCGCGUCAGGAUAUGCCUAGGUGGGAUUAGCUAGUUGGUGAGGUAAUGGCUCACCAAGGCGACGAUCCCUAGCUGGUCUGAGAGGAUGAUCAGCCACACUGGAACUGAGACACGGUCCAGACUCCUACGGGAGGCAGCAGUGGGGAAUAUUGCACAAUGGGCGCAAGCCUGAUGCAGCCAUGCCGCGUGUGUGAAGAAGGCCUUCGGGUUGUAAAGCACUUUCAGUCGUGAGGAAGGUAGUGUAGUUAAUAGCUGCAUUAUUUGACGUUAGCGACAGAAGAAGCACCGGCUAACUCCGUGCCAGCAGCCGCGGUAAUACGGAGGGUGCGAGCGUUAAUCGGAAUUACUGGGCGUAAAGCGCAUGCAGGUGGUUUGUUAAGUCAGAUGUGAAAGCCCGGGGCUCAACCUCGGAAUAGCAUUUGAAACUGGCAGACUAGAGUACUGUAGAGGGGGGUAGAAUUUCAGGUGUAGCGGUGAAAUGCGUAGAGAUCUGAAGGAAUACCGGUGGCGAAGGCGGCCCCCUGGACAGAUACUGACACUCAGAUGCGAAAGCGUGGGGAGCAAACAGGAUUAGAUACCC